UCAUUAAUGUGGUGGUGGUGGUGAUGAUGAUUAUGAUGAUGAUGAUGAUGAUGAUUAACGUCGUGGUCGUAAUCAUCCUUUUCGACACCACCAAAC
Molecule: microRNA precursor, 96 nt
Filed under: Bigelowiella natans CCMP2755
Lineage: Eukaryota; Cercozoa; Chlorarachniophyceae
Description: miRNA EPrBNAG00000013093
Source: RNAcentral